AUUGAACGCUGGCGGCAGGCCUAACACAUGCAAGUCGAGCGGAAACGAGUUAUCAGAACCUUCGGGGGACGAUAACGGCGUCGAGCGGCGGACGGGUGAGUAAUGCCUAGGAAAUUGCCCUGAUGUGGGGGAUAACCAUUGGAAACGAUGGCUAAUACCGCAUGAUGCCUACGGGCCAAAGAGGGGGACCUUCGGGCCUCUCGCGUCAGGAUAUGCCUAGGUGGGAUUAGCUAGUUGGUGAGGUAAGGGCUCACCAAGGCGACGAUCCCUAGCUGGUCUGAGAGGAUGAUCAGCCACACUGGAACUGAGACACGGUCCAGACUCCUACGGGAGGCAGCAGUGGGGAAUAUUGCACAAUGGGCGCAAGCCUGAUGCAGCCAUGCCGCGUGUGUGAAGAAGGCCUUCGGGUUGUAAAGCACUUUCAGUUGUGAGGAAGGCGGUGUAGUUAAUAGCUGCAUCGUUUGACGUUAGCGACAGAAGAAGCACCGGCUAACUCCGUGCCAGCAGCCGCGGUAAUACGGAGGGUGCGAGCGUUAAUCGGAAUUACUGGGCGUAAAGCGCAUGCAGGUGGUUUGUUAAGUCAAUGUGAAAGCCCGGGGCUCAACCUCGGAAUUGCAUUUGAAACUGGCAGACUAGAGUACUGUAGAGGGGGGGUAGAAUUUUCAGGUGUAGCGGUGAAAUGCGUAGAGAUCUGAAAGGAAUACCCGGUGGGCGAAGCGGCCCCCUGGACAGAUACUGACACUCAGAUGCGAAAACGUGGGGAGCAAACAGG
RNAcentral lists this ribosomal RNA (772 nucleotides) under uncultured bacterium. RNAcentral's name for it is "bacterial SSU rRNA". It matches the Rfam family "Bacterial small subunit ribosomal RNA", at positions 28 to 776 of the family's 1533-position model. The record is from RNAcentral.